GAUGAACGCUGGCGGCGUGCCUAAUACAUGCAAGUCGAGCGAACGGACGAGAAGCUUGCUUCUCUGAUGUUAGCGGCGGACGGGUGAGUAACACGUGGAUAACCUACCUAUAAGACUGGGAUAACUUCGGGAAACCGUAGCUAAUACCGGAUAAUAUUUUGAACCGCAUGGUUCAAAAGUGAAAGACGGUCUUGCUGUCACUUAUAGAUGGAUCCGCGCUGCAUUAGCUAGUUGGUAAGGUAACGGCUUACCAAGGCAACGAUGCAUAGCCGACCUGAGAGGGUGAUCGGCCACACUGGAACUGAGACACGGUCCAGACUCCUACGGGAGGCAGCAGUAGGGAAUAUUCCGCAAUGGGCGAAAGCCUGACGGAGCAACGCCGCGUGAGUGAUGAAGGUCUUCGGAUCGUAAAACUCUGUUAGUUGGGAAGAACAUAUGUGUAAGUAACUGUGCACAUCUUGACGGUACCUACACAGAAAGCCACGGCUAACUACGUG
This 497-nucleotide ribosomal RNA is filed under the name uncultured bacterium. RNAcentral's name for it is "partial 16S ribosomal RNA". It matches the Rfam family "Bacterial small subunit ribosomal RNA", at positions 28 to 507 of the family's 1533-position model. The record is from RNAcentral.